Molecule: long non-coding RNA, 301 nt
Filed under: Homo sapiens (human)
Lineage: Eukaryota; Metazoa; Chordata; Mammalia; Primates; Hominidae
Description: non-protein coding lnc-MBOAT2-7:1
Source: RNAcentral
CAUUUAAUAGUUGAUACUGAGAUACACAUUUUUAAAAUAAUGAUGUUUACACAUUUCAGAAUAGAAAGAAAAUAUCUUCCUAAAGCCACAUUUCAAAUGUACGAAUUUCUCUAAUAUUAUUCUGACUAUACAGUAGACUUUCCAAUUGUUAAAUCAGAGAUAUUUGUCUUUUAUGUCUCAUCAAAUAUAACUCUGCCUAUGAAAAAUUUCUAAGUAAAAUUUUCAUUUUAUAAAAGCCCCUAACACCAUUAGUUUCAUUGCCUAAAAGUGCUAUGUUGAAAAAUAACUUACAGGUUUAAAU